AUCAAAUACUUUCUGAAAAAAUCAUUACAAAAAGUAAUUCUCUUCUCGAAAUUUGAUAAGUCAUGACAAUAAAUCCCAAAGACUAACAUAUUUUUCAAAAAGAAAUGUUUACAAAUGUUCUUUCCUCUGUAUUAUGGAAAAAGAUCGGUAUAUGUUUUUGCAUUGAUUGUGAGAAUCUCCGGUGGGGUUGUCUCAUAGGUGGGGUGGUAUUUUGAUGGCGAUAUAUGUUUCCGAUCUGUAGAGUAUGACUUGCAAGCCGCCUGCAGUUUCUGCAUCAAAGGGAGGUAAUCCUUGAAAAUCAAGGGAGAUUCUUCAAAUCCUCUUCCGAAGAGUUUGAAUCGAGGUCCUUCAUCAUUUCUGUAACACGUUGAUAAAACAAAUCCUUUGCAUACUGGUA
Long non-coding RNA from Haliotis rubra (blacklip abalone), 397 nucleotides. RefSeq lists it as uncharacterized. NCBI's taxonomy places the organism in Eukaryota, Metazoa, Mollusca, Gastropoda, Lepetellida, Haliotidae. The record is from RefSeq and is a predicted model, not a curated record. The transcript is spliced from 3 exons.